RNAcentral lists this ribosomal RNA (21 nucleotides) under Fulvia fulva. Its description in RNAcentral is "Passalora fulva partial 18S ribosomal RNA". RNAcentral also lists the same sequence under 104 other names. Lineage: Eukaryota; Fungi; Ascomycota; Dothideomycetes; Mycosphaerellales; Mycosphaerellaceae. The record is from RNAcentral.
GAACCUGCGGAGGGAUCAUUA